AGAGUUUGAUCCUGGCUCAGGAUGAACGCUAGCUACAGGCUUAACACAUGCAAGUCGAGGGGCAUCAGUUUGGUUUGCUUGCAAACCAAAGCUGGCGACCGGCGCACGGGUGAGUAACACGUAUCCAACCUGCCUCAUACUCGGGGAUAGCCUUUCGAAAGAAAGAUUAAUAUCCGAUAGCAUAUAUUUCCCGCAUGGGUUUUAUAUUAAAGAAAUUCGGUAUGAGAUGGGGAUGCGUUCCAUUAGUUUGUUGGCGGGGUAACGGCCACCAAGACUACGAUGGAUAGGGGUUCUGAGAGGAACGGUCCCCCACAUUGGAACUGAGACACGGUCCAAACGUCCGUACGGAGGCA
RNAcentral lists this ribosomal RNA (353 nucleotides) under uncultured bacterium. Its description in RNAcentral is "bacterial SSU rRNA". It matches the Rfam family "Bacterial small subunit ribosomal RNA", at positions 8 to 353 of the family's 1533-position model. The record is from RNAcentral.